UGAAGCUUAGCUAUUUUUGAAGCAUUAUAUCAUAAUAGCUUUAGAAUAUUAUAUUUUUUGGCCAGCCUUUAUCAGAAUAAUUUAUGACAUGGAAUCACUUCUCUGAGCUUUCACCUUUUGUUUGAUUCUUAACAAUAAAGGUUACAUUCAUUGUGCUCUGUUGCAAUUCCAGGAUGUUCACAGAUUCCUGCAAAAGGUUGAGGAUCAUGAAGGGUUCUGAUGCAAUUGGACUCGGUAAGUUCAGGCAAACCGAAAUCCUGAAUAACCUACAGUCCGAACUACUGAAGGGUUCUGAUGCAAUUGGACUCGGUAAGUUCAGGCAAACCGAAAUCCUGAAUAACCUACAGUCCGAACUACAAACUUCGCAAUCUGUAGUGAUGCUUCCAAAAUGCUGAUAUUCAAUUUCACUUCUAUUUUGCAAAUCCAUAAAUUUUCAUUUUGUAUUUGUAACAUGGUGAUUUUUUAGUAGUCAUCUAUUCCUUAAUUGAAGUCCGUCACUUUUCAGUUCAAAUUCACUACUACACAAACUAUCACUAAACAAAUCUUAAUCUGUGACCCUGCAG
This 563-nucleotide long non-coding RNA is filed under the name Musa acuminata (dwarf banana). RNAcentral's name for it is "long non-coding RNA (MACU_LNC006155)". Lineage: Eukaryota; Viridiplantae; Streptophyta; Magnoliopsida; Zingiberales; Musaceae. The record is from RNAcentral.